Long non-coding RNA from Xenopus tropicalis (tropical clawed frog), 640 nucleotides. RefSeq lists it as uncharacterized. The record is from RefSeq and is a predicted model, not a curated record. NCBI's taxonomy places the organism in Eukaryota, Metazoa, Chordata, Amphibia, Anura, Pipidae. The transcript is spliced from 12 exons.
UGCGUUUCUUUGGCUAUAUAAGCUCACCGCGCCUAUGCAAUCGGCCAUUUGAAACGUGCUUCGAUCUGAGAUGGCUGCAGCUUAUCUCGCUGGUUUGGAUCUGGGUCCCAAAGCAGUAGCUCAAAUGGUGUUGAUAAAAAGACUGUACAGGUGCAUAACAUGAGGCUUAAGCAGGUGUGAGUGGUGCUGGAGUUCUGUGAAAGAUGCCAAAGCUGAUGGCUCUUCUCUACAAUCAGGUUGGCACUGUUGUAUACAGUAGCUGCAGUUGGUUGUGCCAUUUCCAUCCUUCUGCUCAUGCAUUUAUGGACUGGAGAUCUGGAAACCCUUCAUCUGGACCCUUCGUCUUGACCUGCUCUGUUGCAGGUCUACUAUAAGGUGUCAAACUAUGCCAGAUUACAUGCUGUUAUGUGGUUGAAACAGAGCUCAUGGGGCUACUGACAAGAUGCCAAACUGCCACACCGUUGAUAUUCAAAAGGACAGAUCAUUGAAGCUUGUGUUCCGAAGCUGCACAACUCUGCUUCUACACAUGGCAAAUCUGCUAUCCUGCUGAGGUUCUGGUGCCAAGCAUGAAACAAGACUGAAGUCUACAAAUGUCAUGUGGCUCUGUUGAUAACCUGUAAAUAAACUUAUUCUGACUGAC